GCCUAAAGCGUCCGUAGCCGGCUCUGUAAGUUUUCGGUUAAAUCCAUAUGCUCAACAUAUGGGCCGCCGGGAAUACUGCAUAGCUAGGGAGUGGGAGAGGUAGACGGUACUCCGUAGGAAGGGGUAAAAUCCUUUGAUCUAUGGAUGACCACCUGUGGCGAAGGCGGUCUACCAGAACACGUUCGACGGUGAGGGAUGAAAGCUGGGGGAGCAAACCGGAUUAGAUACCCGGGUAGUCCCAGCUGUAAACUAUGCAAACUCAGUGAUGCAUUGGCUUGUGGCCAGUGCAGUGCCGCAGAGAAGUCGUUAAGUUUGCCGCCUGGGAAGUACGUACGCAAGUAUGAAACUUAAAGGAAUUGGCGGGGGAGCACCACAAGGGGUGAAGCCUGCGGUUCAAUUGGAGUCAACGCCAGAAAUCUUACCCGGAGAGACAGCAGGAUGAAGGUCAAGUUGAAGCCUUUACCAGACAAGCUGAGAAGUGGUGCAUGGCCGUCGCCAGCUCGUGCCGUGAGGUGUCCUGUUAAGUCAGGUAACGAGCGAGAUCCUUGCCUCUAGUUGCCACCAUUACCCUCAGGAGUAGUGGGGCGAAUUAGCGGGACUGCCGUAGUUAAUACGGAGGAAGGAGAGGGCCACGGCAGGUCAGUAUGCCCCGAA
RNAcentral lists this ribosomal RNA (654 nucleotides) under uncultured archaeon. RNAcentral's name for it is "bacterial SSU rRNA". It matches the Rfam family "Archaeal small subunit ribosomal RNA", at positions 508 to 1160 of the family's 1478-position model. The record is from RNAcentral.